Molecule: ribosomal RNA, 292 nt
Filed under: uncultured bacterium
Lineage: Bacteria
Description: partial 16S ribosomal RNA
Rfam family: Bacterial small subunit ribosomal RNA
Source: RNAcentral
GUGCCAGCCGCCGCGGUAAUACGGAGGGUGCAAGCGUUAUCCGGAUUUAUUGGGUUUAAAGGGUCCGUAGGCGGAUCUGUAAGUCAGUGGUGAAAUCUCACAGCUUAACUGUGAAACUGCCAUUGAUACUGCAGGUCUUGAGUGUUGUUGAAGUAGCUGGAAUAAGUAGUGUAGCGGUGAAAUGCAUAGAUAUUACUUAGAACACCAAUUGCGAAGGCAGGUUACUAAGCAACAACUGACGCUGAUGGACGAAAGCGUGGGGAGCGAACAGGAUUAGAUACCCUGGUAGUCC